Molecule: long non-coding RNA, 734 nt
Organism: Oenanthe melanoleuca
Lineage: Eukaryota; Metazoa; Chordata; Aves; Passeriformes; Muscicapidae
Exons: 2
Source: RefSeq, a predicted model, not a curated record
GGCUCGGCCGCGUCCCAUCGUGGUAAUGGCGGACGGGCUGGGUAGCACAAACGGGCUGCGGCAGGAACCUCGGAGCGGCGGUCAGAACGGCAGGGCCCGCUCACCCGGGACAGCAAGCGAGAGUACCGAUCGUUAUGGUUCCGAAGCGACUGAUUGGACGAAAUUCCACGAGGGAAGGAAACAAAAGGAAAAAUCCUAAAUCCCGACAGCAGUGAAGACAAAGAGCUGUGAAGAGCAAAGAACCAGGAAGGAAAUCAGAAUCAGAAAACAUGCUACUAAUGUUAAGGGUUCCAUUUAGACCAGAAAUGAACUUUUUGAGUGGAAUUUCCUGAUCUCGCAUAUGAGCUGAAAAGUGUAAGGUAGCAGUACAUCAAAUACACUCUGUAGGCGUUUUAGGGCAUUUGUGGUGUGGGGGCCGCAAACUAAACCAGUAUUAAAUAACCCACCAGAACUAUGUGUGGUCUGGAUGGUGGGUCCUCAGCACUGCUUCACCCUAAAAAUCGGGCCACUGAUCCACUACACUACUUGUGAACACAACCAUUUAUAACUUCCCUGUUACUGUAAAAAGCUACCAGCAGAUGGGACUACAAAAAACCCCAAAUAUUCCUUGUCCAUGUUAGAUUCAGCAUUGCUUGGCAUUUUUUCAUUUCUGGUGUACUGUUUUAGAGCCCGAGAUUGAGGGAAUGUAAAAUAAAUUCUUGGACUUCAAACAAAUAAAAACGACAUAAAAGUAA